Molecule: ribosomal RNA, 173 nt
Filed under: Scarthyla goinorum (Tarauaca snouted treefrog)
Lineage: Eukaryota; Metazoa; Chordata; Amphibia; Anura; Hylidae
Description: partial 16S large subunit ribosomal RNA
Source: RNAcentral
ACGUGAUCUGAGUUCAGACCGGAGUAAUCCAGGUCAGUUUCUAUCUAUAAAGGGCUUUUUCUAGUACGAAAGGACCGAAAAAGCACGGCCAAUAUUACAUGCAAGCCGUAACUACUAAUUUAUGUUUAACACUUAAUAAGUAAAUAGCCUCCCAAAAUGUUCAAGAAAAGAAC